GAUCAUAGCUCAGGAUAAACGCUAGCGGCAGGCCUAACACAUGCAAGUCGAGGGGCAGCGUGACGGGUAGCAAUACCUGUUGACGGCGACCGGCGCACGGGUGCGUAACGCGUAUGUAACCUACCGUUCACAGGGGGAUAGUCAGAGGAAACUUUGAAUAAUACCGCAUAAAACAGGGGUCCGGCAUCGGGAUAUUUGUUAAAGGUGGCGACACGGUGAACGAUGGGCAUGCGUUCGAUUAGAUAGUUGGUG
This 252-nucleotide ribosomal RNA is filed under the name uncultured bacterium. Its description in RNAcentral is "partial 16S ribosomal RNA". It matches the Rfam family "Bacterial small subunit ribosomal RNA", at positions 15 to 254 of the family's 1533-position model. The record is from RNAcentral.